Dipodomys spectabilis (banner-tailed kangaroo rat) is the source of this 2604-nucleotide RNA transcript. It is a transcript of the gene named complement receptor type 1-like, with no coding region annotated. The transcript is spliced from 16 exons. The record is from RefSeq and is a predicted model, not a curated record. Lineage: Eukaryota; Metazoa; Chordata; Mammalia; Rodentia; Heteromyidae.
GGCGCGCCGCCGCAGCGUGGCCGGCCGGAGUCGCGCUCGGCACCCGGGUCUCCCUCCUGGUGCGGGAAGCGCAGCCCCGGAAGCGGCCGCGAUCGGAAGCUUUCGGUCCCGGAGCCGGAGCCCUCGCCGGAGCCCGGGCUCCGAGCGCAGCCCCGGGACUCAGAGCCCAGCCCCGGGGGUCGCCGAGCCCGGGCCUCCGGCGCGCGCCCCUCCGCCCCUGCCGCUCGCUUUGCGGACACCUUGGUUUCUAGCUCGGCUCGGGGAUGCUGGGGGCCCCUUCUCCGAGGACCCUGGAGCCGGGGGGGACCCCGGCGCCCCCGCUCUCCCUCUGCUGCGGAGGAGCCUUGCUGGCGAUCCUGAUGCUGCUCGCGCUGCCCACGGCCUGGGGACAGUGCAAGGCUCCAGAACAAUUCUCCUCUGCCAAGCCUACAACUCCAAUUGAUGAGUCUGAGUUUCCCAUCGGAACAUCUUUGAAGUAUGAAUGUCGCCCUGGGUUCAUACGGAGACAGUUCUUGAUCACCUGCCUCCCAAACUCCGAGUGGACAGAUGUUUCAGAUAAGUGUAUACGUAAACCAUGUAACACUCCUCCAGAUCCUCUGAAUGGCAGGGUGCAUGUACAAACAGAUACGCGGUUUGGAUCUACAAUCACUUACACCUGUAACCAAGGAUUCCGGCUCCUGGGACCUUCCUCUGCCCUAUGCAUCCUCUCAGGAAACACUGUGGUUUGGGAUAAUGAAGCGCCUGAUUGUGAGAGAAUUCUCUGUGAGCCUCCGCCAGCCAUUCCCAAUGGAGAGAUCCUGAGCAGCAGUGAAGAUUUCCAGUAUGGCAUGGUGGUGACCUAUCGCUGCACACCUGGACCGAGAGGGAAGAAGCAGUUUAACCUGGUGGGAGAGCCAUCCAUACACUGCACCAACGAUGCAGAUAAUAAUGGCAUGUGGAGUGGCCCACCCCCUCAGUGCAUCACAGUCAAUACCUGCACUCCUCCAAGUGUGAAAGACGCAGUCAUGGUGUCUGGCAACAGGAGCUUAUUUUCCUUACAUGAUACAGUACAGUUUCAAUGUCAGCUUGGCUUCGUCAUGAAAGGACCCACCAGUGUGCAGUGUGGGGCCCUGGGCAAAUGGGAGCCGGAAUUACCAAGCUGCUCUAGGGGAUGCCAGCCUCCUCCAGGAAUCCUGCAUGGCCAGUAUAGCCCAAGCGUGGACAUCUUUUCAGUAGGGCAGGAAGUACUCUACAGCUGUGACCCCGGCUAUGACCUCAGCGGGGCUGCGUCUCUGCAGUGCACACCCCAGGGAGACUGGAGCCCCGAAACCCCAACGUGUGCAGUGAAAUUAUGUGAUGACGUCACCAGCCAACUCCUUCAUGGUCAUGUGGAACUUCCACUAAGUCUACAAUUUGGGGCAAAAGUGACCUUCAGUUGUGAUGAAGGGUUCCGAUUAAAAGGCAACUCAGCUAGUUAUUGUGUCUUGGCUGGAAUAAAAACCCAGUGGAACAGCAGUGUUCCUGUAUGUGAACAAAUAUUUUGCCCAAACCCUCCAACUAUCCUUAAUGGAAGACACACAAGCACGCUUCUGGGAGAUAUUCCCUAUGGGCAAGAAGUGUCUUAUACUUGUGACCCUCACCCAGACAGAAGGAUGACCUUUAACCUCACGGGGGAGAGCACCAUCCGCUGCACCAAUGACAGUCAAGGGAAUGGGAUUUGGAGUGGUCCUCCCCCUCGCUGUGACCUUUUUGUUCCCUCUACUUGCCCACAUCCACCCACAAUCCAGAACGGGCACCACAUUGGUGACUACACAUCGUCAUAUCUUCCUGGGAUGAAAGUCAACUACAACUGUGACCCCGGCUACCUGUUGGUGGGAAGGGGCUUCAUUUUUUGUACACAUCAGAGAACCUGGAGCAAAUUUGAUCAUUAUUGCAAAGAAAUAAAAUGUAGCCUCCCACCAUUUAUGGAUGGAAUCCGGAAGGAGAUGGGAAUUAAAGAAGAAUAUCAUUAUCAGGAAAACAUAACUCUAGAGUGCCAACAUGGGUAUACAUUGGAAGGCAGCCCCUGGAGCCAAUGCCAAGCGGAUGGAUGGCACCCUCAAUUGGCUGUAUGUACAUCUAGCUCACGUACUACUCUCAUAAUUGGCAUCGUCUUAGGUAUGAUCUUCCUUAUCUUACUCAUCAUUGUGCUAUGUUGGGUAAUUCCCAGGUACAAAAAACGCAAUAUUACGCAUGGAAAGUCUAAAGAAGUGAAUAUCAAUCUAUACCCUCCAGAAAGCGACCAUGCCCAGCCCCAAAGUCUGCUAUCAAGUAAAGAAAACAGCAGUACUUCCUCUUUCUGACCCUGGUCUGCAUUCAUCUAAGCCUGGUCUUCUCUAGCUACACCCAUCAAGAAUCCUAAAUUUAACAAGGGAGCCCCAGGGAAAGCGGCCUUCCUUGACAACAUAUAAAGCCGGAGCAUACCUCAAUUACAUGUUGACUAGACAGGAGCCAAUUCAUUGCAACAGAAGAAGAUCUGGAUUCAUGAAGAUCUGAAGCUUCCCAGGCCUCCCUUCUCAGUCUGCCCUUCGGUCACUCCCUCAGGCUCUUCAUCCUCUUGUUGGAGGAUCAGAUCCUUAUUAAGCU